Molecule: long non-coding RNA, 1058 nt
Organism: Tachysurus fulvidraco (yellow catfish)
Lineage: Eukaryota; Metazoa; Chordata; Actinopteri; Siluriformes; Bagridae
Exons: 3
Source: RefSeq, a predicted model, not a curated record
UCUCUCCAAAGCACUGACACUGGACGCUGUAAUUGUUAAAUAACGAUCUCCUUACAUCUCCUUACAGAAAUCCCACCACACGAAUGACUCAGUGUCACAAUUUGAAGUUCAGAGAGAAGUUCUAUAGCAAAUUGUAUCAUCAUCUUUGGAGCUUAACGGAGCAGGAGACCACACAUCAGUAGCCGAUGUGACAUAAACACGUUAUAAACCUCCUGUAUUACAUUAUAAAAUCAGCUCGACAUCCAAACUGGGAUAAUGUACAGUAACGGGAAGGACGUGGAGAACGAAUUCCAGCCUGAGGAAUUCAUCAGAUUGUGACACGGAGGUGAAAUCGCCUGCGGAGGAGAGAAAAAAGAAAAGAAAAUGAUCGACAGAAAGCAAGAUAUUUAUAAUGUAUGCUAUUUAAUUCUUCCAAGAAGAAGCCUUUGUUUUGUCACACAGACAUUAGAAUAUAGUAAAAUUCUUUCUUCACAUAUCCCAACAUUGGAAGGUUGUGGCUCAGUGUAUGGUCAGCCAUGAUACGGUGAGAGCUAGGGGCCUUGCUCAGGGGCCCAACAGUGACAACUUGAACCCUGAUUCUCCAAUCGACAAUCUAAAGCCUUAAAUUCUUGAACCACCACAAUACACACAAUGAAAUAAAAAGGUGGAGGUACAUGAAUGGAGCUUGUGGUCAGUCAGUCAGUCAGUAAAAUGGAGCAUGUGAUCAGUCAGAUUUAAGAAAAAAAAAAGUUAGUCUAAUAAUUGGAUUCAAUGCUGCGUGAUCAUGUAGUGAUCGUGAUCAUGUAGUGUUAAUGUGAACCAUCACUAGGUGAAAUGUCACCUGAUUAAACAGAGUAGGAAUAAACAGCGGUGUGGUGACGUGAGUGUAACACCAGUGUUGGGGGUUUGAUCCUCAGCUCGGGUUUGAACUCAACGUUUGAUUAAAUUCUACAUAAAAUGCAAUACAAGAUACCUUUCUACAUAACCUAUACACAUAGGUUAAAAAAUUAUUUGACAUACUAUAAGUAAAAGCCCACAAACAUUGAAUCUCUAAUGGCUGUGAGCUUGUCUAACUGAGA